CACCCACAAAAUCUGGUUUAGAAGGUUGGGGAACUUUCUGGAACAUUGUGGGGGGGGUUGGUGUGGGUGCUGGAAGAGGAGAUGAUGGGGAGGUUCUGUUGUGCAACCAGAGCAGCCCUUCCAAGGGGAGUUCUGCUGUGUAAGUGGAACACAGCUCGUGCAGCAAUGGAUGCAACCCUCUAUUUCUACAAAUAGUCUGCAACUUUUUGUUGGAGGUUCUGUCUCCUCCCAUCCUUGCACAGGUGCUACUGUUCAGGGUUUCUGCCAGCCAGCCAGCCAGCCAGCCAGCCAUGCUGUCCCUCAGGAUGCUGCAAGGAGCUCACAGGCAUUCUCAUUUCCCUGUUUUCCAUUUUUAAGCAGACUUGUUCUGGGUUUGUCCAGAGGGGAACAGCUAGAAACAAAGGGUGGAAAUUGUAGGGUAGCCAACUUCAGAUGAACACCAGGAGACUAGUGCAAGACAGUAAAAUGAAUGCUUUUCUAAUAUUGCAGAACAUGGUCAGAUCCCCAAACACAAGAAACUCCUGCAGAUCUCUUAUAACUAUGCCAGUUGUUCCCCAAAUGGGUGCUAGAUCAUUCCAAUGUGCUGUGAGAGAACUGUAUAGAUGCAGUUCUGAGGUGAUGUGGUGAAAUCCCAAGUCAGUUUUACCAGCUGAGUUCUCCCUCAAAAACAUGUCUAAAUCCUAUCUAUAGAGAAAUGAGUCAAUAAAUUACAAGGACUACACAUCAAUUAGCUAAAUCUUCACCAAGCACAUCAUUUCGUUACUAAAAUAUCAGUAAAGGGAUCUGUACACAGUGACUUAACUAGUUUUGAGUACUUACUUUUAGAAUACAAACACAGUACAAAAGGAUUAGUUUCAACGAUUUAAUCUUUAUUGAAUGAUAAAACAACAAACACCCUUCAUUAAAGGGAGUAUGGGGAAAGACAUAGAACAAGUAGUUUCAGAUAAUGAGGCAUGAUCAAAUAUCUGGAAUAGACAGCUAGUAAAAUCCACUUCUGUGAUGGCCGGGGAAUGUUCUUUGAAAUGGAUUCAUCACCCUUGAAUUUAGCACACUGGCCCUAAAGGAUACAAUUCUUGGAAGGGAUGUGAGACUCAAGGGUCUUAUGUACACUCCUAGUUGGAGAAGGCUAGACUAUUAAUAUAAUUCUGGCUUAGAUCUUUUAUAUGGUUUGGGGUAGUAUUCCUAAUGUAUCAACUCCACUUCAGGAAUAAGACUAGGAUACUCAGAACUUCAAAACCGGGACAAGAAGAAUUUUAGAACCAUCUCUGAGAGCCAGUGUCUGUAUCUGGAUGGAGAGGUGUACUCAAAACUUCUGCAAAUGCAUGACCCCUCAGGCUUUGAUCCGUCAUGGUUACUUUCAGUGUCCCUUAGUCAGCUGCAAGAAGAAGUUGAGGGCCCAGAAGCUGACAGUGCAAAGCCUGAGGGAACUUCAUUGCUAUACAGCAAGGAGACAGAAAGAGAGAAAGAGAGAGAGAUUUGAAGAAUAUAUAUAGCUGCCAGGAGCUCGAACUGGUGUUCACAACUGUUUGGCACCAACAGCGUACUUUCAAAGGGGCUACUCAUGCACCCAUCAGCUGAUUGGUGCCAAGAGGAGACAGUGUGAAAUUGUUAACUGAUGUCAUAAUGGCAUUAUUUGAAUGACAGGAGACCUAGCAGGAGACCUGCAAAAGA
Molecule: long non-coding RNA, 1671 nt
Organism: Podarcis raffonei (Aeolian wall lizard)
Lineage: Eukaryota; Metazoa; Chordata; Lepidosauria; Squamata; Lacertidae
Exons: 4
Source: RefSeq, a predicted model, not a curated record